This 460-nucleotide ribosomal RNA is filed under the name uncultured bacterium. RNAcentral's name for it is "partial 16S ribosomal RNA". It matches the Rfam family "Bacterial small subunit ribosomal RNA", at positions 338 to 795 of the family's 1533-position model. The record is from RNAcentral.
CCUACGGGGUGCAGCAGUGAGGAAUAUUGGUCAAUGGGCGCAAGCCUGAACCAGCCAAGUCGCGUGAGGGAUGACGGUCCUAUGGAUUGUAAACCUCUUUUGUCGGGGAGCAAGGCCCGCCACGUGUGGCGGGAAGGAGAGUACCCGAAGAAAAAGCAUCGGCUAACUCCGUGCCAGCAGCCGCGGUAAUACGGAGGAUGCGAGCGUUAUCCGGAUUUAUUGGGUUUAAAGGGUGCGUAGGCGGAAGGUUAAGUCAGCGGUAAAAUGUCGGUGCUCAACACCGGCCUGCCGUUGAAACUGGUCUUCUUGAGUGAGCGAGAAGUAUGCGGAAUGCGUGGUGUAGCGGUGAAAUGCAUAGAUAUCACGCAGAACUCCGAUUGCGAAGGCAGCAUACCGGCGCUCAACUGACGCUGAGGCACGAAAGCGUGGGGAUCGAACAGGAUUAGAUUCCCCUGUAGUC